GACGAACGCUGGCGGCGUGCUUAACACAUGCAAGUCGAACGGAAAGGCCCUGCGUUUGUGCGUUUCUCGAUUGCCGAACGGGUGAGUGACACGUGUGUAUCCUGUCCUUGUCUUUCUGGUAUCUUCAGGAAACUGGGGCUAAUAUCCGAUAGGAUCUCCUGCUGCAUGGUGUGCGUUGGAAAGUUUCGGCUUUUGUGGCUGGACUCGCGGCUUAUCAGCUUGUUUGUGGGGUAGUUGCUUACCAAGGCUUUGACGGGUAGCCGGCAUGAGAGGGUGAACGGGCACCUUGCGACUGCGAUAGGGAGCAGACUGCUACGGGCGGCAGUAGGGGGGAAUCUUGCACAAUGGGCGGGCGCGUGAUACAGAAACGUUGGGUGCGUGAUGCCGGGUUUUGGGUUGUAAACCGCUUUCGAAUGUGACGAAGAGUGAGUGACGGUAAUGGGUCAAGAAGCAACGGCUAACUACGUG
This 468-nucleotide ribosomal RNA is filed under the name uncultured bacterium. Its description in RNAcentral is "partial 16S ribosomal RNA". It matches the Rfam family "Bacterial small subunit ribosomal RNA", at positions 28 to 507 of the family's 1533-position model. The record is from RNAcentral.